UGCAAAUUAAACAAAAAUAAUCAAAACUAAUUCAAACUAAGGACACAAAAGAUCAUAUUAUACUCUAGCUAUAGCUUUUGUACCACCUUUGAUCAAUUUUGGUAAACCAACAUGCUAAUUCCUCACAAAAAUAGCAAAAUCAUAAAAUACAGAAUGAAGGUCAACUUCUCUUACAUUAGGUGUCACUAUUUGCAUCUUCUUCCUAGAUACAGAUGGAAUGCCCCGCAACCUUGAAUGAGUUUCCAAAGACCUACGUACAAAAGAUAUACAUUCAUUAUAUCAUUAUAAUCAUAUAGGAAGGAAACAAAAUAGAAAGGAAAACUUACGCCUCUAAAGUUGUUAUAGAGGAGACAAUUGUGGUUGUGGAGGUGUAACAAUGUUUGUCUUCUUAGAAAUGUCCUACAUUUGACCAUAAAAUAAGUCUAAUAUAUGCAUCAAAAUACAAGAAAUACAUAAGUAAUUAAGGUAAGUAUGAAUAACAAUACUUACUAAAAUUGACUAUCUGGAUGGCCAAAUGACAAAUUUCCCUGGUGCUUGUCCCACUGUUUGAACCUCCUCACUAGGCACAGGAACACAAGCAGAACAAUCUUUAAUAUCUACAAUCACCACUCGCAUCAUAUCAUCUUUAAUAGUCUCAUGGUGGAUGGUGUUUCCCAAAUUAUAUCUUUUACCUAAGACACAAAAGUAGAUGACAAUUGUUGAGUACAACUAGAUAGAGAACUUAUUUCUAGGUCAAUUAUAUAUUUUAACAAAUAUACAUAAAAAUGAAUCAACAUUGUCAUGCAGACGAUUGGCAUUGCUAAGCAUCGACAUGGUCUACUGGUUUUUGAUUUUCCUAAACAUACUUUGUCCAAUGUUAAUUUCACUUCUUGUAAUAAUGUUAACUACAAUAUUUGGCAUAGAUUGGUAUGUAUUUUCCUUUUAAAGAUUAUCACAUCCCUGCUUAAACUUAUAAUUUUUUAAUCCUGUCAUACUUGUUAUUGAUCAUGUUGAUAAUUCUGAUGAAACUCAAAUCAUUGAUAGUAUUCAAGGUGCUUCAAACCUUAGAUGUUAUGAUUCUUCUAAUGAUAAUGAUCAAAAUGUCUCUCCAAGUAACACAUAUUUGGAUAAUACUGCUACUAAUCCCAGUAACAAUCAUUCUGAUAUUGUCACUCACCCUAUGUACAAAACAACCAUAGUUACUACUACUCCUUCUUACCUCUCUUAAUUAUCAUUGUUAUAAUGUUACUAAUGGAUUUUCUUCUCUUUAUCCUAUACAAUAGUUAGAAGACAAUAUUUGAAUCACAAAAAAACAAAUAAUUAGCACUCCUGAUUGUAACCUUUUUCACAUAUCGUUGUUUUACAGUUUCUGUUUUCUCUCCAAUUCGUAUUCACAGUGCUAUAUUUCUGCUAAAUCUAAUUGCUAAUUACGUAGAGUCUUUACGAAAGCCACACCACAUCAGAAAGGGUACUGAAACAUAACUCUAAUAUGUGAAAUUUAACAUUCAAUAGUUAGUCUUUGUCCCGUUCCUGAACCAGCAUUCACAAAUAUUAUCAAUCUUUACAGAUAAAAAUAAAUAUCUACAGGAUUGGUUCAGUAAUCAUUCAUGGAUUUGGUUUUAAUUCAUCUCCUCUCUGCCCAAAAUUUCAUGAUUUAAUUGUUGAUUAUAUUUACAUGAUUUAUAGAUAAACAUUUGAGACAUUCAAUAACCCAGAAAAGUUUUCGUAGCUACUAAAAUUGUAUAACAUUGUUCAUAACAUAUAUUAUAUAGCCCAAAUGAAUGCAUAGUUGUUAGUCUUCUUUUUAUUAUUAGCAAACAAAUUAGGAGUAAUAAAGGCAGUUGGGCAUGGAUGAGUCACUUUUUGAAUAAAGGCUUUUUUAGAUUUGACAUUACAUGAGUGGGUACUGGGAACAUCUUUGGUAAAUAAUGG
Molecule: long non-coding RNA, 1911 nt
Filed under: Vigna radiata
Lineage: Eukaryota; Viridiplantae; Streptophyta; Magnoliopsida; Fabales; Fabaceae
Description: long non-coding RNA (VRAD_LNC015420)
Source: RNAcentral